This 76-nucleotide transfer RNA is filed under the name Escherichia coli. Its description in RNAcentral is "tRNA-Asn". It matches the Rfam family "tRNA". Rfam says of the family: Transfer RNA (tRNA) molecules are approximately 80 nucleotides in length. Their secondary structure includes four short double-helical elements and three loops (D, anti-codon, and T loops). RNAcentral also lists the same sequence under 3 other names. The record is from RNAcentral. Lineage: Bacteria; Pseudomonadati; Pseudomonadota; Gammaproteobacteria; Enterobacterales; Enterobacteriaceae.
UCCUCUGUAGUUCAGUCGGUAGAACGGCGGAUUGUUAAUCCGUAUGUCACUGGUUCGAGUCCAGUCAGAGGAGCCA